UACGAGGGGGGCAAGCGUUGUUCGGAUUUAUUGGGCGUAAAGGGUGCGUAGACGGCAUAUUAAGUCAACUGUUAAAUUCCUUGGCCUAACUGAGGAUCAGCGGUAGAAACUGAUGUGCUUGAGGAUGAGAGAGAGAAGUGGAAUUCUCGGAGUAGCGGUAAAAUGCGUAGAUCUCGAGAGGAACACCGAUGGCGAAGGCAGCUUCUUGGCUCAUUCCUGACGUUGAGGCACGAAAGCGUGGGGAGCAAACAGG
Molecule: ribosomal RNA, 253 nt
Filed under: uncultured bacterium
Lineage: Bacteria
Description: partial 16S ribosomal RNA
Rfam family: Bacterial small subunit ribosomal RNA
Source: RNAcentral